Molecule: long non-coding RNA, 840 nt
Organism: Sander lucioperca (pikeperch)
Lineage: Eukaryota; Metazoa; Chordata; Actinopteri; Perciformes; Percidae
Exons: 2
Source: RefSeq, a predicted model, not a curated record
CACAAUUGGAUUUUCGAUUUAAACUUAUUUUUUCAACAGGCCAGCAAUACCACAAUAGGAGCCACUAGAUAGCAGAAAGGUACUUUGCAACAACAUUUUGAGUUUCUCAGAGUUUUUUUUGGCACAAUUGAAUGCACCAUUAGUUCAACAAUGUGAAGGCACAAUGGAGCCCUGUCGGAGCCAGAGCCCACGUGCUUUACCUUCGUUUUGUGUUUACACAACUCACUCACGUGGAAGGCAAAAUGUUGUCACACCGGUGACUUCAGGGAAGCAGAAGGAUUUCUCUCUCCGUCAUCUCCAACUCCCUACAGUGGCCAUGGUGACUGGAAUAGUCAAGCUACAGGCUACCGAUAUAAAAAUGGCCAAAUGCUGCCCCUUUGAUGGUGAGGGACAUUCCUGGCAUCUCUCAGAUGUCUGUGCUGCUUUGCGGUAACCCAACUCCGGUUGAAAGCAUUUUCCUGGGAAAAAGAGGCGGCUCGCAAUCGACGGGGCACAGGGACACCUGCAGCUCUGGCGCAGCGGCGACUACAGAUCAGCCCUGGACGUGACUCAACACCGAACACACACACACACACACACACACACACACACAAACACACACGCACACACGCACACACCCUGACACUUGCAUUCACAGAAAAAAGUACUCCAGCACUCGCCUAUGCUUCCACACACGUACGGUACAUUCCACUCUGCAACUUCCCCCACCUUUCCAACUGCCUCUCCGGUUCAUUCAGUGAUGUCCAUGCUGAUGAGUGUAUUACGGUGAAAAUGAGGACAGCUGCUCCCAUAAACCCUGUCAUCAAUUUGUCUCAGUCAUUAAAAUUGUCUGUAAUUGGC